AGCGAAGAACGAUACGCAUCGUGUAGGUGAUAUUUUUGAGGGAUCUGUACGUAGAAAGGAUGAGCGGCCGUCGGACGACGUCGCUUUCAGCUAGCGCCACUCCGUCUAGCCCCACGUCUACGCUCUGUCAACUUUGUUUUAUAUUUAAUCCGGGCCGCUUUAGCAAACAGUAAACAAACACUGUAUCGCAUAAGCGCCGCUCGAAUUAGCCUCGAUACCAUUUCAAACGGCCGACUCGCAUUUAUGAAGAUGACCGGGGAUGCUGGCCCACCCGAGAGAAUUUCACGUACUUACUUACAUAUAUACGUAGAAAGCCAGUGAACGGAACGUGAACGGCGCGGGUGGGGGAAGAAGAGUGCCGAAAGCGCCACGGGCCACGGUGUGGUGGUGGUGGCGGUGAUGGUGGUGGUGGAGAGCGACGGUAGAAUAGCGAGACGGAGUAGCGGUGGUAGGGGUAAGAUAGUAGUGGGGCGAGCCGCCAGAGGGAACUGGUGGGGACACGGCUGACGUCACGGAAUGCCGUGGUACCGCCUACCCGCAUGCAAUGGGCGGGAGUCUGCCGACGAUUUACGACCGUCGAUCACGGCGACAUCUAGUAGCGGCGCCACGAACUCAACCUGCCUCACCGGUGGCCAUUACGAUCCCACGAUUGGCUGAGUACACGGUACAACGCGAAUCAGGCGACGGUUUAAAUAUGGAUUUUUUUUCUUGGCCACGAAAUCGCGGCGACCGUGUCGUAUAAAUCAGGAUUGAUUUUCAAAGGGAAUCAUGGGAGGUCGAGCAGCAGCCGCGAUGUCCCUUUUAGCCCCGCAUUUGUUUCCGGCGGUAAAUCUAUAUUUGGCUAAUCGAAUCGACACAACUACACACCGCGCCGUUUCCGCUGCUUUUUCGGAAGCCGCGACCAAAAGAUCGCCGUUUCGACUUUUCACGCUUUCUGUCUUGCGUUAGUCAACAAACUUUUUCAACGUUACGUCGAGUUACGACAGUUCACUGACCUCACCUUUGUCGUUGGUGUUAUAAAAUCUCUUUUGAUUCAUUUCUGGUUAUAAUCGAUUGUGAGACAAUUAAGAUUACUUUGGUAUUUGGCAAAGUUUUGUUAAAGUGUAGGAUUAACGAAAGGAGUUUAACGAAGACAGAAACAUUAGGAACUGUAGUUGUGAAUAUUUUCAACUUGAAUGCCUGAGAUUAUUCUUUAUGUGUAAUCCCGAGGAACGUGUAAUCCCUACGGAAUCGGUAACUGAGCCGCUCUUACGGUCGAUGCACAAACUAGAUCGACGAUACUUAAACGGUAAAGCAUCCUAAUCCUCGUGAAAUGCACAGAGACUAAUGAUCACAUGCCUGCAGUGUGCAUCACAAUAAACUGGAUAUGGACAAGUAAUGUCUUCGUUGACAGCUUUUCGCUAAAUGUUCUUAGCAGUUCUUUAAGGUAUAUAUACGUAUCAUAAAUCAACAGCAAAUUUAAAUUGACUACUUUAAAACGUUUGCCGUAAUAAUCGAUUCUUUCUUUUAAAUGUUUACAUAAAAUUCGUCCAUGUAUUUUACGAUGAUUUACAUGCCUAUUUCCUAAUUGCAUAAGAAGUUAUUAUUCCAACGUUUAGAGAUAAUACAAUGUCAGCAAUAAGUGAGAACACAA
Long non-coding RNA from Bombus pascuorum, 1633 nucleotides. RefSeq lists it as uncharacterized. Lineage: Eukaryota; Metazoa; Arthropoda; Insecta; Hymenoptera; Apidae. The transcript is spliced from 5 exons. The record is from RefSeq and is a predicted model, not a curated record.